UAAUACGUAGGAGGCGAGCGUUGUCCGGAGUUACUGGGCGUAAAGGGCCUGUAGGCGGUCGGUGGCGUCUGCGGUGACAGCUCCCGGCUCAACUGGGAGAGGGCUGAACAGAUACGCACCGACUUGAGGACUGGAGAGGGAAGGGGAAUUCCGCGUGGAGCGGUGAAAUGCGUAGAGAUGCGGAAGAACACCGAAGGCGAAGGCACCUUCCUGGGCAGUACCUGACGCUGAGGGGCGAAAGCCAGGGGAGCGAACGGGAUUAGAUACCCCGGUAGUCCUGGCCGUAAACGAUGACCACUAGAUGCACGCGGGCUCGACCCUGGGUGUGUCGCAGUUAACGCACUAAGUGGUCCGCCUGGGGAGUACGGUCGCAAGACUAAA
This 381-nucleotide ribosomal RNA is filed under the name uncultured bacterium. Its description in RNAcentral is "bacterial SSU rRNA". It matches the Rfam family "Bacterial small subunit ribosomal RNA", at positions 521 to 898 of the family's 1533-position model. The record is from RNAcentral.